CCCAGCGCGGUGAUUGGCACUUCCUCCAGAGACUGCCGCACCUUGUGGCCUCCGUAGCACCACCUGCUGGGGACAACGUGUUAAUGCCUGAAGCUGGGAAGGACAUUCCUCAGGAAAACCAACCUCCCCAGGGCUCAGUAAACGUUUUUUCUCUCUGCCUAACAUACUGAAACUUUUUUUUUAAAUGAUCUCUGUGUUUCACUCCAGGAGGCGUUGCAGGCCUUGGAACAAGAUGUGGAAAAGCAGAAGGUCUGCUGGGAGAAUGAGGUGCUCCAACUGAAAGAAUACAACCAGGAGAUAGUCUCAGAAAUGGAGACUAUCAAGCUCCAAGUGGAGAAGCUUCAGACCCAGCUGUCAAGUAAAGACAGUGAACUGGAGAAGCUUGCUCAGCACGACAAAGAAAGGACACAUCUGUGGCUCAAACAAAUUAACUGGGAGCACCGUGUCAAAAUAACUGAACAGGGGAAGAAGCUUGAGUGGACCGAGGAAAUUAGGAGGGAGAAAGAAACUGCCUUGAGGAAGAAAGAAGAGCGCAUGCAGGAUGAGGUGUCUGACCUGACAAGGCUACAUAGAUGCAACAUGGACAAUCAGGUUCUCCAAACUGAGAAAGAUGAACUGCAAGAUAAAAUCUCUAACCUACAAAAGGAGAACAGUAAACUGAGCUUACUGACUCAGCAACCUUCAGACCAAGGAGAUGCUAGGAACAAUUCAGGCCUUUGCUAUGGAAACCCAUAUCUAGAAGAUCGUCUCAAAGAAAGUCUUUGCUCCACGAAAAUGUAGCCAUGAUUACAGCCCUGGAAAAAAAGGUAGAAGCUACAACCUCCCAAUUAAGGUCGAAAGCAAUCACUGACAUCCUGGCACGCCAACUAUGGAGACUUUCAAGUUGUGUGUUUUUUCACUUGAGAAAGCCCGUACUUGACGAGAAUUGAGUUCAAAGCUACUCUCAGGGAAAAUGGGAGGGGCCAGGGAAAAGGGGUUAUUUCUAUCUAGAUGCUUCUAAUUUGGCAUUUUCUGUUCCUUCCUAUGCACAUAAAAUGUAUUAUGUCACACAGCUUGGCCUGGAAAGAAGCAAUCCUGUUGUAACACGUUUAUAAGUGCUCAGACCAUGGGCCUGAGCCACUGCUUCCUGUCCGUAAGUCUUAGUGACUGAUUUAGGAACUGUUAAGAAGUAUCUGAGCUUGCAACUUUCAUAGUUAUGUAUGAUUGUAAGAAUGACACUAUUGUUAAUCUUCUUAAUAUUUAAAAUAAACUACUUUUUAAAUGACA
This 1266-nucleotide long non-coding RNA is filed under the name Meriones unguiculatus (Mongolian gerbil). RNAcentral describes it as "lncRNA (ENSMUGG00000011194.1)". The record is from RNAcentral. Lineage: Eukaryota; Metazoa; Chordata; Mammalia; Rodentia; Muridae.